Long non-coding RNA from Aethalodelphis obliquidens (Pacific white-sided dolphin), 239 nucleotides. RefSeq lists it as uncharacterized. The record is from RefSeq and is a predicted model, not a curated record. Lineage: Eukaryota; Metazoa; Chordata; Mammalia; Artiodactyla; Delphinidae. The transcript has 3 exons.
GACGGGUGACCUCCGGCUCUGAGGCUGCUGCGGCGCCGCGGGCGGCGGGGGCUGCUGCUGCUGAGAUUCAUGAACAGUGAGAUUCGAGACUGAAACUGACCUACUAAAUUGGAGUCCUACAUGCUGCAACAUCGCCUUGCUAGUCUGGUCAUGGGUGGAGCCCUGGGGUGCAUGUGGGAUAUAGAGGCACUGGGCAUGCAAAGAAGAAGACAGAGUAUAAAGAAGUCUACUGAAGCAGG